This 455-nucleotide long non-coding RNA is filed under the name Homo sapiens (human). RNAcentral's name for it is "long independently transcribed non-coding RNA 2971 (LINC02971)". The record is from RNAcentral. Lineage: Eukaryota; Metazoa; Chordata; Mammalia; Primates; Hominidae.
AUCACUCUCAGGCCUUUUGUUCUUCCCCACAGCUGCUCAGCAAAUUCCUUGAUUUGAAAUUACGAUCACAGGUUGGAGUGCUACUUAAAAUAAUUUUGCCAAAUGUUCCAUCUCUCUGUGUUGAUGAAUAUAAUGGAUGACAAUUUAAAGAGCAAAAAAAAAAUCUCUGCAUUUAAUGAGGAAGUGCUGUCAGCAGAAAGGAGAGGAAGCUUCACCCCGACCAUCCGCAGGACCCACAUCCCUCUCAGCGGGAAGGCAGAAUCAUUCAUCUAUUGCUCUCCUUGAAGGGCAGCUCCAGACACUCACGUGGACACAAGUAGGAAAAGCACAGAGUGUGUCAUCACACUGUGUACCUCAUACAGGUGACGUCCUGGAGAAACCUCUGGAAAAACAGAAAUUUUAUGACCCACAAUUAAAAUGAUUUAAGUAAUAAAUAACCCUGAUAGCUUGCCCCA